AUUGAACGCUGGCGGCAGGCCUAACACAUGCAAGUCGAACGGUAACAGGAAGAAGCUUGCUUCUUUGCUGACGAGUGGCGGACGGGUGAGUAAUGUCUGGGAAACUGCCUGAUGGAGGGGGAUAACUACUGGAAACGGUAGCUAAUACCGCAUAACGUCGCAAGACCAAAAAGGGGGACCUUCGGGCCUCUUGCCAUCGGAUGUGCCCAGAUGGGAUUAGCUAGUAGGUGGGGUAACGGCUCACCUAGGCGACGAUCCCUAGCUGGCCUGAGAGGAUGACCAGCCACACUGGAACUGAGACACGGUCCAGACUCCUACGGGAGGCAGCAGUGGGGAAUAUUGCACAAUGGGCGCAAGCCUGAUGCAGCCAUGCCGCGUGUAUGAAGAAGGCCUUCGGGUUGUAAAGUACUUUCAGCGGGGAGGAAGGGAGUAAAGUUAAUACCUUUGCUCAUUGACGUUACCCGCAGAAGAAGCACCGGCUAACUCCGUG
This 490-nucleotide ribosomal RNA is filed under the name uncultured bacterium. RNAcentral describes it as "partial 16S ribosomal RNA". It matches the Rfam family "Bacterial small subunit ribosomal RNA", at positions 30 to 507 of the family's 1533-position model. The record is from RNAcentral.